AUUCGGCCGCUGUUCGGCUGCGCGGCGGCAGCUCCCGGCGGCUCCUGGCGGCGCCGCAGUCGGACCUUCGGGCGCCUGCUGGCCGGCGGCAGCAGCGAUGGCCCCCUGAGCAGGCAGGGAGCAGGCGGCGGCAGGCGGGCAAGCGGGCGGGUGCCGCAGCCCAGGCCCGGGUCGCGCCUCUUUGUUUCCACGGGUAGCGGCGCAGUCCCGGGCCCCGGGCGGAAGUGAGACGCGCUCGGCGCGGGGGCCGCGGCGGCCGCACCAUGAGCGACAUCCGCCACUCGCUGCUGCGCCGCGAUGCGCUGAGCGCCGCCAAGGAGGUGUUGUACCACCUGGACAUCUACUUCAGCAGCCAGCUGCAGAGCGCGCCGCUGCCCAUCGUGGACAAGGGCCCCGUGGAGCUGCUGGAGGAGUUCGUGUUCCAGGUGCCCAAGGAGCGCAGCGCGCAGCCCAAGAGACUGAAUUCCCUUCAGGAGCUUCAACUUCUUGAAAUCAUGUGCAAUUAUUUCCAGGAGCAAACCAAGGACUCUGUUCGGCAGAUUAUUUUUUCAUCCCUUUUCAGCCCUCAAGGGAACAAAGCCGAUGACAGCCGGAUGAGCUUGUUGGGAAAACUGGUCUCCAUGGCGGUGGCUGUGUGUCGAAUCCCGGUGUUGGAGUGUGCUGCCUCCUGGCUUCAGCGGACGCCCGUGGUUUACUGUGUGAGGUUAGCCAAGGCCCUUGUAGAUGACUACUGCUGUUUGGUGCCGGGAUCCAUUCAGACGCUGAAGCAGAUAUUCAGUGCCAGCCCGAGAUUCUGCUGCCAGUUCAUCACCUCCGUUACCGCGCUCUAUGACCUGUCAUCAGAUGACCUCAUUCCACCUAUGGACUUGCUUGAAAUGAUUGUCACCUGGAUUUUUGAGGACCCAAGGUUGAUUCUCAUCACUUUUUUAAAUACUCCGAUUGCGGCCAAUCUGCCAAUAGGAUUCUUAGAGCUCACCCCGCUCGUUGGAUUGAUCCGCUGGUGCGUGAAGGCACCCCUGGCUUAUAAAAGGAAAAAGAAGCCCCCCUUAUCCAAUGGCCAUGUCAGCAACAAGGUCACAAAGGACCCGGGCGUGGGGAUGGACAGAGACUCCCACCUCUUGUACUCAAAACUCCACCUCAGCGUCCUGCAAGUGCUCAUGACGCUGCAGCUGCACCUGACCGAGAAGAAUCUGUAUGGGCGCCUGGGGCUGAUCCUCUUCGACCACAUGGUCCCGCUGGUAGAGGAGAUCAACAGGUUGGCGGAUGAACUGAACCCCCUCAACGCCUCCCAGGAGAUUGAGCUCUCGCUGGACCGGCUGGCGCAGGCUCUGCAGGUGGCCAUGGCCUCAGGAGCUCUGCUGUGCACGAGAGAUGACCUGAGAACCUUGUGCUCCAGGCUGCCCCAUAAUAAGACGGUAGUGAGGAUGAGACCCAGUGGUGUUUGUGAAUUUCUCAUCCUACUCCUUGCCACGUGGAGACCUCCACAAACGCAGUCAUCAGGACUCUGAAUUUCGGGGUCGUUUGCAAGGCCAGCUUCCUGGGGCUUCUGCUUGGAAUUCAGCCUCCUCCAGCUGGUGAUCUCGGGUCCCGUGCAGCAGUCGCCUCACGCCGCGCUCCCCCCGGGGUUCUACCCCCACAUCCACACGCCCCCGCUGGGCUACGGGGCUGUCCCGGCCCACCCCGCCGCCCACCCCGCCCUGCCCACGCAUCCCGGCCACACCUUCAUCUCCGGCGUGACCUUUCCCUUCAGGCCCAUCCGCUAGGCUGGCCCGUGUGUGCCUUCUGCGCUCUCGCUGGACGAAGCCUUUCGAGAUGGAAGGGGUGGCCGGACUCCCAGAAGAGAACCUCGGGGAAGGGGUCGGGCAGCCCCUCCCCGCCGGCAGAACCGUCUUGGUGUCACGGAGUCCAGGUGCUUCCCACCCGGUCGCAUUCUUUGACAUGCAGAUUGGAUGGUGGAGGGAAGAGUCCAGCCUCUGCCGAGAGCCUGCUGCGUGCAUUUUUAAAAGAUGCCGAUCCUGGGAGCCUCUGUUCUCUGCGCAUUUCAGACACAGCCUGUGUGGCGAGGAGUGUGACGGCAGGAGCCACGGGUGCAAGCCCGUGUGUCUGGCCUCUUUCCUCGUGAAGACGAUGUGUCCCCGCCAGAAAAAGUGGGCUCCUUCUGCAGCCCCGUGAGCUGAGCCCAGGCUGCGUAGUGACCACAAGCUUAUGUGCAGCACUGCUCAGGGAGGCUGUCAGGAAUUCCCCUCACCUCGGAAAGGAACUUCUCAGUUUUAUUGGGGGUGUCUAAAUUUCCUUUCAUAUGUUCAAAUAAAUUUUUCUAAACAGUCA
This is an RNA transcript of Homo sapiens (human), 2328 nucleotides long. It is a transcript of the gene named integrator complex subunit 15, with no coding region annotated. The transcript is spliced from 8 exons. NCBI's taxonomy places the organism in Eukaryota, Metazoa, Chordata, Mammalia, Primates, Hominidae. The record is from RefSeq and is marked validated.